RNAcentral lists this ribosomal RNA (498 nucleotides) under uncultured bacterium. Its description in RNAcentral is "partial 16S ribosomal RNA". It matches the Rfam family "Bacterial small subunit ribosomal RNA", at positions 28 to 508 of the family's 1533-position model. The record is from RNAcentral.
GAUGAACGCUGGCGGCGUGCCUAAUACAUGCAAGUCGAGCGAACGGACGAGAAGCUUGCUUCUCUGAUGUUAGCGGCGGACGGGUGAGUAACACGUGGAUAACCUACCUAUAAGACUGGGAUAACUUCGGGAAACCGGAGCUAAUACCGGAUAAUAUUUUGAACCGCAUGGUUCAAAAGUGAAAGACGGUCUUGCUGUCGCUUAUAGAUGGAUCCGCGCUGCAUUAGCUAGUUGGUAAGGUAACGGCUUACCAAGGCAACGAUGCAUAGCCGACCUGAGAGGGUGAUCGGCCACACUGGAACUGAGACACGGUCCAGACUCCUACGGGAGGCAGCAGUAGGGAAUCUUCCGCAAUGGGCGAAAGCCUGACGGAGCAACGCCGCGUGAGUGAUGAAGGUCUUCGGAUCGUAAAACUCUGUUAUUAGGGAAGAACAUAUGUGUAAGUAACUGUGCACAUCUUGACGGUACCUAAUCAGAAAGCCACGGCUAACUACGUGC